Molecule: ribosomal RNA, 568 nt
Filed under: Sphodropoda sp. MN275
Lineage: Eukaryota; Metazoa; Arthropoda; Insecta; Mantodea; Mantidae
Description: partial 16S ribosomal RNA
Rfam family: Bacterial large subunit ribosomal RNA
Source: RNAcentral
UCGCCUGUUUAUCAAAAACAUGGUUUCUUGAAAUUAGUAUAAAUAAGAGAUUUAACCUGCCCACUGAAUAUAUUUUUGAAGGGCCGCAGUAUUUUGACUGUGCAAAGGUAGCAUAAUCAUUAGUCUUUUAAUUGAAGGCUGGUAUGAAUGGUUGGAUGAGGUGAAUUCUGUUUUAUUAUAAUUUAAGUUGAAUUUAGGUUUUAAGUAAAAAAACUUAAAUAUUAUUAAGGGACGAGAAGACCCUAUAGAGUUUAAUAAGUGUAGUAAUUAAUUGAGUUAUUAAAUAGAAGAAUUUUUAGUUAAUAUGAAAUUUAUUUAAUUGGGGUGAUUAGAAGAUAAAAUUAACUCUUCUUUAAAUUUAAUAUUAUGGUUAGAUAAAUGGUCCAUAUUUGAUGAUUAAAAGAUUAAAUUACCUUAGGGAUAACAGCAUAAUUCUUUUUGAGAGUUCAUAUCGAAAAAGGAGAUUGUGACCUCGAUGUUGGAUUAAGAUUAGUUUUGGGUGUAGAUGUUCAAUAACUAGGUCUGUUCGACCUUGAAAAUCUUACAUGAUCUGAGUUCAAACCGGAGA